UCCCACCUUUAGAAUAGUUAGAUAGUUAGUUAAAUCGUUAAGUUUUUGGAGGCGAGUUGGAUAGAAGUUGGUCGAGUCGAGAGUCGUGGUCGUGUUUCCGCUUAGAUCCAUCCUUGGAGAAAGCUAGUCGGAUCGAGAUCAAUAGGCGGACAAGGGUAGAAUGUCGUUUUCUCGACGUUAAGGCCAAGGUAAUCAUAGUUGGGAGACCUUUGGGAAAGAACAGACGCUGAACACUGGUGUAGAGUUUGUUGCCUUUAUAAAGAAAUAUUUGGAAUAUGUAUUGUAUGACUCGAUUUGGGCAUUAGGCCUUGGCGCCAAACGCGUAUGUAUUUUAAGUUAUU
This is a long non-coding RNA of Camelina sativa (false flax), 341 nucleotides long. RefSeq lists it as uncharacterized. The record is from RefSeq and is a predicted model, not a curated record. NCBI's taxonomy places the organism in Eukaryota, Viridiplantae, Streptophyta, Magnoliopsida, Brassicales, Brassicaceae.